UACGUAGGGUGCGAGCGUUGUCCGGAAUUAUUGGGCGGAAAGAGCUCGUAGGCGGUUUGUCGCGUCGGCCGUGAAAACUUGGGGCUUAACUCCAAGCUUGCGGUCGAUACGGGCAGACUUGAGUUCGGCAGGGGAGACUGGAAUUCCUGGUGUAGCGGUGAAAUGCGCAGAUAUCAGGAGGAACACCGAUGGCGAAGGCAGGUCUCUGGGCCAUAACUGACGCUGAGAAGCGAAAGCAUGGGGAGCGAACAGG
This 253-nucleotide ribosomal RNA is filed under the name uncultured bacterium. Its description in RNAcentral is "partial 16S ribosomal RNA". It matches the Rfam family "Bacterial small subunit ribosomal RNA", at positions 524 to 776 of the family's 1533-position model. The record is from RNAcentral.